UUUUAAUAUAUGUUACUUAUAUUUUGUACGUCUUAACAGUUUUAUCAAAGUUAAACAUGGAAAAUGUUUAUGAACCUUUUCUUAAAAAAGGGAGUCAGAUGAAGUGCGAUAGGGUCUUUGAACAUGUAAGUAUAAAAAAGGACAACUAUGUCAAUAAGGAUAGUACUAACAACACUAGUGGCAAUAAUACCAGUAGUAGCAAUAAUACCAGUAGUAGCAAUAAUACCAGUAGUGGUAAUAAUAUCAGUAGUAGCAAUAAUACCAGUAGUGGUAAUAACAAUAUAGGUACGAAUGAUCAUAACACAGAUCUUCAUAAAGAUCGUAGCGACUAUAAUGAUGACAACAGAGAUAGCAACUCAAAUAGUAAUAAUAAGAAGGACGAUCAAAAGAAAAGUAACAAUUUUCAAGAGGCACAGAUAGUGGAGAAGGACGUAACAUACAACCAAUUUGAUAGUAAAAUUAAAACACAACUUAAUAACAGUAAUAAGGACAAUGGUAGUGUUGAUACGGGUAACUCUAGUAGUGACAUGCACAGUGGUGUUAACAGUAAUAAUUAUAAUAAUGCUUCUUUAAAACAUAGAUGUGAGAUAUGGAUGUAUUUGGAUAUAAUCCGUACUAUCAAAAGGAAUUACGUAAAAUUUAAUAAUAAUAUAUAUUUAUUACCUUUGAGUUAUUAUUUUAUAAAUAUGAGCAAACAGAUUAAGCAAUAUUUAGAAGAAAGGAUGGCACAUCGAAAAGGUAAUAAAAAGGAUGAUACGGAUAGGGUUUAUAAAAAUGGAAUUGCACAUGAUAACAACUGCAAUGACAGCUCUUAUGACAGCUGCAUUGGUAGCUGCAUUGACAACUGUGAUGACAUCUUAGAUACCAAUUUAAAUAAUAAAAGUGAAACUAUUAAACAAAAAAUGAAUAGUCAUAAUAAUAACACAUCGUCAAUAGAGAUAAAUUUAACUGAUAAAAUCCAAGACAAAAAUUUAUUUAUAAACAUAAAUAACAAGUUUACUUCAUUAUAUCCAACAUGUAAACAUAUACACGUUCCUAACAUAUAUGUUGAUGAACAUAUUAGAAACAAUUCAUCUGCAGGUGCUAUUACUACAGGCGAUGGAACUACCGAUUGUGAAAACAAACAAAUUAAUAUAAAUGACAAAAAAAAAUU
RNAcentral lists this long non-coding RNA (1153 nucleotides) under Piliocolobus tephrosceles (Ugandan red Colobus). Its description in RNAcentral is "lncRNA (ENSPTEG00000018591.1)". The record is from RNAcentral. Lineage: Eukaryota; Metazoa; Chordata; Mammalia; Primates; Cercopithecidae.